This 805-nucleotide ribosomal RNA is filed under the name uncultured bacterium. RNAcentral describes it as "bacterial SSU rRNA". It matches the Rfam family "Bacterial small subunit ribosomal RNA", at positions 722 to 1528 of the family's 1533-position model. The record is from RNAcentral.
CAGACGGCUGGGUCGCUGCUGACGCUCAGGCACGAAAGCAUGGGUAGCGAACGGGAUUAGAUACCCCGGUAGUCCAUGCCCUAAACGAUGUGUACUAGGUCGAGGAGGUUUUGACGCCAUCUCGGCCGCAGCGAAAGCAUUAAGUACACCGCCUGGGGAGUACGGUCGCAAGGCUAAAACUCAAAGGAAUUGACGGGGGCUCACACAAGCGGUGGAGCAUGUGGCUUAAUUCGAGGCAACGCGAAGAACCUUAUCCUGGGUUUGACAUGGACGGAUUAGGCCCCCGAAAGGGGGUUCGACGCUCUCACGAGUGGAACGUUCACAGGUGCUGCAUGGCUGUCGUCAGCUCGUGCUGUGAAGUGUCGGGUUAAGUCCCUUAACGAGCGAAACCCCUGCCGUUAGUUGCCAGCAUUCAGUUGGGGACUCUAACGGGACCGCCGGUGUCAAACCGGAGGAAGGUGGGGACGACGUCAAGUCAUCAUGGCCUUUAUGCCCAGGGCUGCACACGUGCUACAAUGGCAUGGACAGAGCGAAGCGAUACGGCGACGUGGAGCAAAUCGCACAAACCAUGCCCCAGUUCGGAUUGUAGUCUGCAACUCGACUACAUGAAGUUGGAAUCGCUAGUAAUCGCGUAUCAGCUACGACGCGGUGAAUAAGUUCCUGAGCCUUGUACACACCGCCCGUCACGUCAUGGGAGCCGGGAGCACCCGAAGUGGCAGCGCCUCAGCUGUCCCUACGGUGAACUCGGUGACUGGGACGAAGUCGUAACAAGGUAGCCGUAGGGGAACCUGCGGCUGGAUCACCU